CUGAGGAAGUUGCUCUAGCUGAAACAUUAAGUGCGCCUGAUUGUUUGGAAGAGCCCAAACGAGACUACAUAGUGGUUAUCUUGGAGGGAGCUCCCAAAACAGAAAAGAAGCCCAUGGUGCUCGGUGUGUCCCCCAUGACUGGUAAGAUCAUCUCAGCCCCUGAUGAUGGUGAAGAGUCAUUGGGACAGAUAACAGGGCUAGCGUCGGAUACUUAAAGUGCAGAUGCAUUAGCACCAACUGAAAAAGUUGGGAGCAGUCAGAUGUUCUGGGAUAGUAAACCGGUUCCCUGAUAAAGAAUUAGUGAUGUGCCUUGCCUUCCCCUUUCCGUAUUUCCUUGACCCCCUGGAUUUCAGUAAUCCUUACACUGGGCCCAGAAUGCUGUUUUUCUUCGGACUCAUCCCAAAAUACAACUCUCUUUCCACUUACAUGCUUUCCACUGGAGAGUGGUUACUUCAUGUGAACUUUCACUUCACUCCGAUGUGCCACAUACAAGUUUGUGACCCAUCUUUAUACACUUUUUAAAUCAAUCUCCAGUCUUUUUGAGUCAACUGCACAUUGGAGCCUAUAUUAUAGUGAACCCUACCUCAAACAACACAUUAGUUGGAGAUGUCUUGGAAUUGCAAUGUCAAUAGUUACAAUACCAGCAGGGCUAAACAUUAGCCACAAACACGGUCAUUUCUGCAUGCUGACCACCAGUUUUUUUUUUUGUUAGACUUCAGGUUCUCCUCUAUCUUCAAUAUAUGCUAUUUUUCAUUUGCAUUAUUUAUGAAUUAACACCUUUUUUAUUUGUACCUCUCUACCUCAGCUUGACAGUGUUCUCCUUUAACCAGUAUUACUGUAACCAACUACAUUACCAAUGUGACAUGAAUAAGUCAAAGAACAACUGACAAACAGAUUACCUGUGUCAAUAUUAUCAAUACAACAAUAAGCCAUGUUACAAGUCGCAUUCCAGUUUUAUUUUUUAAAGGCUGACAUUACAAUAUUAUCAAAAAUGUAAACCCCACUGCUGCAUCAUUUGCCUUUGUUUUCCUGUUCUCUCUUAGUUUUUCACCAUCACCAAACCUAUUUUGAAAAAGUUAGA
This is a long non-coding RNA of Carassius auratus (goldfish), 1081 nucleotides long. RefSeq lists it as uncharacterized. The transcript is spliced from 3 exons. NCBI's taxonomy places the organism in Eukaryota, Metazoa, Chordata, Actinopteri, Cypriniformes, Cyprinidae. The record is from RefSeq and is a predicted model, not a curated record.